This 371-nucleotide ribosomal RNA is filed under the name uncultured organism. RNAcentral's name for it is "bacterial SSU rRNA". It matches the Rfam family "Bacterial small subunit ribosomal RNA", at positions 526 to 896 of the family's 1533-position model. The record is from RNAcentral.
CAGAGGGUGCAAGCGUUGCUCGGAAUUAUUGGGCGUAAAGGGUAGUAGGUGGUCUCAUUUGUCUGGGGUGAAAUCCUUGAGCUUAACUCAAGACGUGCCCCAGAAACGGUGAGACUAGAGUACUGGAGAGGGUCGUAGAAUUCCUGGUGUAGCGGUGAAAUGCGUAGAGAUCAGGAGGAAUACCAGCGGCGAAGGCGGCGACCUGGACAGUAACUGACACUCAACUACGAAAGCGUGGGGAGCAAACAGGAUUAGAUACCCUGGUAGUCCACGCCGUAAACGAUGGAUACUAGGCUUUGUGGGUCUUGACCCCCGCAGAGCCGGAGCUAACGCGAUAAGUAUCCCGCCUGGGAAGUACGGUCGCAAGACUA